AUGUUAGAUGGGAGCAAACAGAAGCAACAGGAAGAGGCCUUUGCCUCCCCUGCGCGGGCGGGUGUGGUGUGUUGCCCUGCCCGUGUCCCUCGCGUCCCUCGCGUCCGGCCCGCAGCUGGUGCAUUUGCGCAGAUGGGGCCGCAGGGCGGUGGGGACACGUGUGCACCCGCCUUCACAGCGGUGUCCCCCGCAGCGGGAAGGGGUCUGCGGGCCAAGUGGACACGGGAUCCAUCGGUGGCGCAACCUCACAACGUGGCUCAGCCCAGGAAGGGUGUUCUGACCCCCGCCGCAGUGUGGACGGGCCUGGAGGACGUGGGCCAGACCCGGACGCCGCAGGAUUGCCCUACACAAGUUCCUAGCUCUCUGGACCUCGCGCAGCAACACAUGUGCCUAAUGCCCGAGCUGUGUGCUCGAUUGGGCCGGGCUGGGGAGGGUUCUGCGGAUUUGACCACGACAGAGAUCUGCACGCGGUGCACGCAUCCCACCCCAGACACCGGGCCCACGUGGCAUCAUGAUGGUAUCUCGAGUUGCAAACGCUUGGAAACAGCUCGGCCCCAGGGGGGACCGACGAGGGCGGCGGGUGGCGGCAGGACUUCUAGGCAGAGACGGUGGAGCUCUGCGCCCUGCACACGUUCUCUAGAACAUCAGGGGGACCUGCUCAGGUUUAGGGCACAAGCCACAGAAUGGGGAGAUGGGGGAGAGGGAGUGGACAGCCAAGGGCGGCAGGUGACCCAACGAGCCCGAGGGGUGGCCCUGGUGCAGCAGGGCAGGUGGGCUGGACGCUGGACUUCAGGGCCACUGCCCUGCUCCGCAGCCCCCUGCCCCCUGGGCCCAGCUCUGGCAGGUGGCUGUGGGCGGGGUCCGGAGGGCAUCCCUGGGCCGGGACGUCAGGGCCGCUCGGCAUGUUUUCGCUCUAAGUGGUUCUCUGGACCUGCCUGGGCCUGCUGUGUGGGGACACAGCCGGGGAGUGCCACUCAAGGAGGUGGGUACCGGGAAGAGAAGGGAAGGGCAUGCCUCCGACACGGCAGCCCCAUGGGGCCUUGCCCCCCGCCCAGCGCCUCCCGCUUGCCCACAGCUGAAGUCCUCAGCUGGGGUAGGCUCGGGCAGCUGUGGGCCGCGGAGGAGGAAAUCUGGCCUCCCCAGUCUGGUCUGGGCCCCACAGAUGGGGCGUUCACGGCAGGGAUGGAGAGACACCCGCAGGCCAGAGACCCGAGCCCGGGAGCGAGGUGCCCCGUGCGCCCAAGUCCAGCCCUGCGGGGUGGCCCAGGCCUGGGGCUGGGAGUCCACCUAGGGUCAGGGCCCAGGCUCCCUGUUCCUCCCUGGAAGCCUGGUGGGGCGGUGGGGGCCCGGCCCUGCGUGGGCCCUGCUCUCCCAGCCCCGAGCAGGCGAGGACACCAGCCCGGCCGUUACACAACACAGUUUAUUUCAGACUCGGCCUGUGCUCAGGCCCGGGGUCCCAGCGGCCGGCUGGCCAGGCUCCCCCUGUGCCCGCUGCCACCACGCCGAGGGCUGCACGGCGCAGUGUCCCUGCAGGCCCAGCGGGCCGGUGCCCAUGGGUGCCGGGCCCCCUCCAAGCAGCUCUACUCUACAGGUUAUUGCAUGUAUACGCUAGUGAGACUCAAAGGGCGCAGUGGGGGGGAGGCUGGGCAGCCCUCUGCUGCCCCGGGGGCACAAGCUGGGCCCUGCUGGGGCGCAGGUGAUGGGCGAGGGGCAUGGAAGCUCGGCUGCUGCGUGGCCUUGGCUCAGUCGCCCGGCGCCGGGCCUACCCACGUGGACCCCCGGCCCAGCUACAAACAAAGAGCAGAAAUGGGGAGAGUGAAACAGCCAUACCCUUUAAUGUCCCCACACGGGCUGGGCCUGUGCCCUGGGGACCCGUCCGCACCCCGCUGCCAGGGAGUGCACAGGACCACCGGGGCCUCUCUCGGGCCGGCUGGCACUCGGAAGCGUGUCCAGUGGGGACACGGCUGCAGCUGGCGGGCAGGCAGGCCACACCGGAGGGCCGCUGCCCCCACCGCCCCCGGACCACGGCCCCAGCCGGGACAUCUGCCCGGGUCGGGGAGGGGAAGUGCUGGGGGCCGCGAGGGGGCUUGCUUUCCAUUGCGGGGGGCCGGUCCGUGUCGGUGCCUGCGCGUGUGUGGGGGCUGCGCGUAUAUGUGUUACACAGGUAGGGACGUCUAG
Long non-coding RNA from Vulpes vulpes (red fox), 2178 nucleotides. The record is from Ensembl. NCBI's taxonomy places the organism in Eukaryota, Metazoa, Chordata, Mammalia, Carnivora, Canidae.